This 1592-nucleotide long non-coding RNA is filed under the name Canis lupus familiaris (dog). RNAcentral describes it as "charged multivesicular body protein 6 (ENSCAFG00000005697.5, ENSCAFG00805017765.1, ENSCAFG00845012140.1)". Lineage: Eukaryota; Metazoa; Chordata; Mammalia; Carnivora; Canidae. The record is from RNAcentral.
GGGGGCGGGGCGCGGGCCGGGGCGCCAUGGGCAACCUGUUCGGCCGCAAGAAGCAGAGCCGGGUCACCGAGCAGGACAAGGCCGUGCUGCAACUAAAGCAGCAGCGGGAUAAGCUGAAGCAGUACCAGAAGAGGAUCACUCAGCAGCUGGAGAGGGAGCGGGAGAUCGCGAGGCAGCUCCUGCGGGACGGGAAGAAGGACCGCGCCAAGCUGCUGCUUAAGAAGAAGCGGUAUCGGGAGCAGCUUCUGGACAAGACAGAGAACCAGAUCAGCAGCCUGGAAACGAUGGUCCAGAGCAUUGAGUUCACCCAGAUUGAAAUGAAGGUGGUGGAAGGGCUGCAGAUUGGAAACGAGUGCCUGAAGAAGAUGCACCAGGUGAUGUCCAUAGAAGAAGUGGAGCGGAUACUGGAGGAGACCCAGGAAGCCGUGGAGUACCAGCGGCAAAUAGACGAACUAUUGGCAGGAAGCUUCACUCAGGAGGAUGAAGAUGCCAUCCUGGAGGAGCUGAAUGCAAUUACUCAGGAGCAGAUAAAGCUCCCAGAGGUUCCUUCGGAGCCCCUUCCCACAAAGGAACCAGAAAAAGUCCCCAUCAAGGCCAGGCCCAAGCAGGUGGACCUGGUGGCAGCCUCCUAACUUGGCCUCUUUGCGUGGGACUGGCAGGGACUCCCCAGAGACUGGGGCCCACAGAGUUUGGGUGCGUGGCCAGCCCUGACCCGGCUCCCAGGACACCGGCGCCAGGCCAGGCCGGUCAGGUGCUGACGGCGCAACGUGGCGCACACCGGGCUUGAUACCAGGAUGACUCUACGGAGCGUUGCCCUGGCGCUGCUGUCUUGCUCUCAUUUCUGGAUUAAAUGGCAACAUUUGGACCCUCCGGCCAACACAGCUCUGAUGCUGUGGUUCCCACGCAGCCACAGGCAGGCCCAACGCUCCUGGUGCCAGCACACUUCUGUCUCUGGCCCCGCGAGGCUCCACGGGCUGCCUUCUCUGCAGCCCGCUCUCUCGUUUGGAGGGCGCGUGGAGCCUAGCUUCCUUGCCCUUUCUUCCCUCGCUUCUCCCUGCUGCUCCCGACGGCAGCCCGGCAGCACAGUGGAAGAGUCCCUGCCUUGGCCUGGCUUCCUGACCUGCCCAGUUUCCACGUUGGUUCAGGGCUGGAAACCUCUCCUCUUCUGUGUCGGCGUUCUGGGGCAUCGGGCCGGUCGGGGAGGACGUACCCCUGCUGGGUUGGUGGCUGCAGGAGCCCCGACCAGUCCCCAUCACGUGCGGCUGUGCAUGCAGAGGCGGCCACACCACAGAGGGACGUCCCGGGGAGCCAGCGGUCUCACUGGAGUCCCCGGAGGUGCUGACGGGGACUGCUCUAGUGGCCGCGGCCCCGCUGCCUGGGACCCUGCCGAGCACCCCGGGCUCUCUGACCCGCCGUCUCUGAGUCAUCAGCUGUGGGGCAGAGGCUGUAGAGGGUGGUCGCGGCUCCCUAGUUGACGGUUCAUCUUGGUUUCAGACAAUCCCAGUGACACGUCCCUCCCAACAAGAACAGAAAGGGGACCCUCCCAGCCCCCCAAACAGGUCAGCCCCCUAUUAAAGUCGAUGCCUGCAUGG